This 460-nucleotide ribosomal RNA is filed under the name uncultured bacterium. RNAcentral's name for it is "partial 16S ribosomal RNA". It matches the Rfam family "Bacterial small subunit ribosomal RNA", at positions 338 to 795 of the family's 1533-position model. The record is from RNAcentral.
CCUACGGGAGGCAGCAGUGAGGAAUAUUGGUCAAUGGACGAGAGUCUGAACCAGCCAAGUAGCGUGAAGGAUGACUGCCCUAUGGGUUGUAAACUUCUUUUAUAUGGGAAUAAAACGUUCCACGUGUGGGCUUUUGUAUGUACCAUAUGAAUAAGGAUCGGCUAACUCCGUGCCAGCAGCCGCGGUAAUACGGAGGAUCCGAGCGUUAUCCGGAUUUAUUGGGUUUAAAGGGAGCGUAGGUGGAUUGUUAAGUCAGUUGUGAAAGUUUGCGGCUCAACCGUAAAAUUGCAGUUGAAACUGGCAGUCUUGAGUACAGUAGAGGUGGGCGGAAUUCGUGGUGUAGCGGUGAAAUGCUUAGAUAUCACGAAGAACCCCGAUUGCGAAGGCAGCUCACUGGACUGCAACUGACACUGAGGCUCGAAAGUGUGGGUAUCAAACAGGAUUAGAUACCCUGGUAGUC